GAGAGGGCGGCUGGCACGGGGAUGUCUAGGAGCUCGAAGGUGGUGCUGGGCCUCUCGGUGCUGCUGACGGUGGCCACGGUGGCCGGCGUGCAUCUGAAGCAGCGGCAGGACCAGCAGAGGCUUCCUGACAGAGUGAUCAGAGACAUUGAGAGGCAAAAUCGGAAAAAAGAAAACAUUCGUCUUUUAGGAGAACAGAUUAUUUUGACUGAGCAACUUGAAGCAGAGAGAGAGAAGAUGUUGGAAAAAGGAUCUCAAAAAACUUGA
Molecule: non-coding RNA, 264 nt
Organism: Castor canadensis (American beaver)
Lineage: Eukaryota; Metazoa; Chordata; Mammalia; Rodentia; Castoridae
Source: RefSeq, a predicted model, not a curated record